CGUGCGGUUCUAUUUUGUUGGUUUCUAGGAUCGCCGUAAUGAUUAAUAGGGAUAGUUGGGGGCAUUCGUAUUCAAUUGCUAGAGGUGAAAUUCUUGGAUUUAUUGAAGACGAACUACUGCGAAAGCAUUUGCCAAGGAUGUUUUCAUUGAUCAAGAACGAAGGUUAGGGGAUCGAAAACGAUCAGAUACCGUUGUAGUCUUAACAGUAAACGAUGCCGACUAGGGAUCGGACGAGGAUUUUUAAUGACUCGUUCGGCACCUGAAGAGAAAUCUUUAAGUCAUGGUUCGGGGGGGAGUAUGGUCGCAAGGCUGAAACUUAAAGGAAUUGACGGAAGGGCACCACCAUGGUGUGGAGCCUGCGGCUUAAUUUGACUCAACACGGGGAAACUC
This 390-nucleotide ribosomal RNA is filed under the name fungal sp. RNAcentral describes it as "SSU rRNA". It matches the Rfam family "Eukaryotic small subunit ribosomal RNA", at positions 827 to 1216 of the family's 1831-position model. Lineage: Eukaryota; Fungi. The record is from RNAcentral.